This 57-nucleotide transfer RNA is filed under the name Camelus bactrianus (Bactrian camel). It matches the Rfam family "tRNA", at positions 8 to 63 of the family's 71-position model. From Rfam's summary of the family: Transfer RNA (tRNA) molecules are approximately 80 nucleotides in length. Their secondary structure includes four short double-helical elements and three loops (D, anti-codon, and T loops). Further hydrogen bonds mediate the characteristic L-shaped molecular structure. tRNAs have two regions of fundamental functional importance: the anti-codon, which is responsible for specific mRNA codon recognition, and the 3' end, to which the tRNAs corresponding amino acid is attached (by aminoacyl-tRNA synthetases). tRNAs cope with the degeneracy of the genetic code in two manners: having more than one tRNA (with a specific anti-codon) for a particular amino acid; and 'wobble' base-pairing, i.e. permitting non-standard base-pairing at the 3rd anti-codon position. The record is from Rfam by way of RNAcentral. RNAcentral also lists the same sequence under 2 other names. Lineage: Eukaryota; Metazoa; Chordata; Mammalia; Artiodactyla; Camelidae.
UAGCUCAAUGGUAGAGCACAUGUUUAGCAUGCAUGAGAUCCAGGGUUCAAUCCCCAG